RNAcentral lists this ribosomal RNA (465 nucleotides) under uncultured bacterium. RNAcentral describes it as "partial 16S ribosomal RNA". It matches the Rfam family "Bacterial small subunit ribosomal RNA", at positions 28 to 507 of the family's 1533-position model. The record is from RNAcentral.
GAUGAACGCUGGCGGCGUGCUUAACACAUGCAAGUCGAACGGAAAGGCUCCUGCUUGCAGGGGUACUCGAGUGGCGAACGGGUGAGUAACACGUGGGGGAUCUGCCCUGCACUUCGGGAUAAGCCUGGGAAACUGGGUCUAAUACCGGAUAGGACCACAUUGUGGAUGGUGUGGUGGAAAGUUUUUCGGUGUGGGCUGAGCUCGCGGCCUAUCAGCUUGUUGGUGGGGUAAUGGCCUACCAAGGCGUCGACGGGUAGCCGGCCUGAGAGGGUGUACGGCCACAUUGGGACUGAGAUACGGCCCAGACUCCUACGGGAGGCAGCAGUGGGGAAUAGUGUACAAUGGGCGCAAGCCUUAUGCAGCGACGCCGCGUGGGGGAUGACGGCCUUCGGGUUGUAAACUCCUUUCGCUAGGGACGAAGCGCAAGUGACGGUACCUGGAGAAGAAGCACCGGCUAACUACGUG